This 802-nucleotide ribosomal RNA is filed under the name uncultured bacterium. RNAcentral describes it as "bacterial SSU rRNA". It matches the Rfam family "Bacterial small subunit ribosomal RNA", at positions 8 to 829 of the family's 1533-position model. The record is from RNAcentral.
AGAGUUUGAUCCUGGCUCAGAUUGAACGCUGGCGGCAGGCCUAAUACAUGCAAGUCGAACGGUAACUGGAGAAAAGCUUGCUUUUCUUGCAGACGAGUGGCGGACGGGUGAGUAAUAUUUGGGAAGCUACCUGAUAGAGGGGGACAACAGUUGGAAACGACUGCUAAUACCGCAUAUAGCCUGAGGGUGGAAGCAGCAAUGCGCUAUCAGAUGCGCCCAAACGGGAUUAGCUAGUAGGUGAGGUAAAGGCUCACCUAGGCGACGAUCUCUAGCUGGUCUGAGAGGAUGAUCAGCCACAUUGGGACUGAGACACGGCCCACACUCCUACGGGAGGCAGCAGUAGGGAAUAUUGCACAAUGGGGGAAACCCUGAUGCAGCCAUGCCGCGUGUGUGAAGAAGGCCUUCGGGUUGUAAAGCACUUUCGGAGGGGAGGAACAAAUGACGUUACCCUCAGAAGAAGCACCGGCUAACUCCGUGCCAGCAGCCGCGGUAAUACGGAGGGUGCAAGCGUUAAUCGGAAUAACUGGGCGUAAAGGGCAUGCAGGCGGUCGGACAAGUAGGAUGUGAAAUCCUGGGGCUCAACCUCAGAACUGCAUUCUAAACUGUUCGACUAGAGUAUUGCAGGGGGAGACGGAAUUUCAGGUGUAGCGGUGGAAUGCGUAAAUAUCUGAAAAGAACACCGAUGGCGAAGGCAGUCUCCUGGGCAAAUACUGACGCUCAUAUGCGAAAGCGUGAGUAAGCAAACAGGAUUAGAUCCCCUGGUAGUCCCCGCCCGUAAACGAUGUUCAUUAAGGAGCUUGGG